UACGUAGGGAGCAAGCGUUGUCCGGAAUCAUUGGGCGUAAAGCGCGCGUAGGUGGCCCUGUAAGUCCGUUGUGAAAGUCAAAGGCUCAACCUUUGAAAGCCGAUGGAUACUGCAGGGCUAGAGUACGGAAGAGGCGAGUGGAAUUCCUGGUGUAGCGGUGGAAUGCGCAGAUAUCAGGAGGAACACCAAUAGCGAAGGCAGCUCGCUGGGACGUUACUGACACUGAGGCGCGAAAGCGUGGGUAGCAAACAGG
RNAcentral lists this ribosomal RNA (253 nucleotides) under uncultured bacterium. RNAcentral's name for it is "partial 16S ribosomal RNA". It matches the Rfam family "Bacterial small subunit ribosomal RNA", at positions 524 to 776 of the family's 1533-position model. The record is from RNAcentral.